CCAUCUCCCACCCCCCUUCCAGGCUCUUGAAGGAGCCUUCCCUACCCCCACCCCUCCCAUGCAGGCUAGCUGCCUUGUUUGCCUUGGAAGCCAGCAGGGCAGGUAAAUAGCCCCAGGCAGCUCCCAGCUGUCACACUGAGCCCAAGACCAGGAGGAACCUGCUUGGGUGGGCGCGGAGAACGGGCCAGGCUGAGCCCAAGGAGCCUUCAGUUUGGGGGGGGGGGUGGUCAAGUUUCAGGGAUGGACCAUCUGUGGCUGGGGAAGGGGGAUGAGAUUAAGGGGCCUGAGAGGAGGCAGGCCAGGGGAGCCCAGAGCCUGGCAGGGGACUCACCUCACUCCUGUGUGAAGGAAGAGAUCCGGUUGGCUUGACCCUGAGGCCAAGAGAUGGGGUGCUGCUCCCUCCCCCACCUACAUACAUAGUUUCCCAACCACCUUCACCCCCUCCCCACACUGCUCACCUCCCUGGCACACUGACACAGUGGCUGCUGGUGCCCUUCCUCAGGGGUGUCUGCCUGGUGCCACUCAAUGCUGCCAGUCUGGCCCAGCCCAGCUCAGGGGAGGGACGACAGAGUCCAGGGCCAGUGCAAGAUAUGGCCCACAGCCCAGGAGGAACCGGACAAAUAUUAACUAGCCCCACCUCCUCCCGUGUAAGCAAUCCUCCAUCAGGACAGAGCUAUUGAUGAGUGACCCUGGCCUCUCCUGCCUGGGCUAUGACCAAUCUUCUGGUGCCCUUCUGGGGCAACAUCGCUGUCGGCCACAUGGCCAACCUCAGGUCCCCCCUCCAAGCCUGGCUAUCUGCCCUACUUGAAUUUAAGCUGGACGAGUCAUCAGAGUCCAGCAACAAGACAAAAGUCAAGAUGACUGGCGAUGGCCCAGGAUGCAGUGGAUGGCCUCGGUGUCUUUGCUGUCUGCCCAAGCUCUAAGAGCUCCACAGCACCUGCUUCAGCCACCUUCGUGGCCAUGGGAACAAAUUGUCCAAGUCUUCACAUGCUCGGGGUAGACACCCCCCCACCCCCAACUCACUAAUGGGUUUGAGGCCUAUCAGUUACUCUCAACCUGGUUUAGCCAAUCUGCUGUGUAUGUUUCCCUUAAGCCACUCACCUAUUAUCCCUGGAUCUCAAUAGAUGUGACUAGCCCACAUCAUUUCCCAGUCAUCCAUGGCCUUUGUUGAAUAUAAUUUAUAUUGUAUUAUGGUCUGGAAAAGAUUCAUCUAAUAUUUCUUCUUUUUUGCAUUUGUUUG
This 1240-nucleotide long non-coding RNA is filed under the name Phascolarctos cinereus (koala). RNAcentral's name for it is "lncRNA (ENSPCIG00000032931.1)". Lineage: Eukaryota; Metazoa; Chordata; Mammalia; Diprotodontia; Phascolarctidae. The record is from RNAcentral.